Molecule: ribosomal RNA, 1539 nt
Filed under: Klebsiella pneumoniae
Lineage: Bacteria; Pseudomonadati; Pseudomonadota; Gammaproteobacteria; Enterobacterales; Enterobacteriaceae
Description: SSU rRNA
Rfam family: Bacterial small subunit ribosomal RNA
Source: RNAcentral
AAAUUGAAGAGUUUGAUCAUGGCUCAGAUUGAACGCUGGCGGCAGGCCUAACACAUGCAAGUCGAGCGGUAGCACAGAGAGCUUGCUCUCGGGUGACGAGCGGCGGACGGGUGAGUAAUGUCUGGGAAACUGCCUGAUGGAGGGGGAUAACUACUGGAAACGGUAGCUAAUACCGCAUAACGUCGCAAGACCAAAGUGGGGGACCUUCGGGCCUCAUGCCAUCAGAUGUGCCCAGAUGGGAUUAGCUAGUAGGUGGGGUAACGGCUCACCUAGGCGACGAUCCCUAGCUGGUCUGAGAGGAUGACCAGCCACACUGGAACUGAGACACGGUCCAGACUCCUACGGGAGGCAGCAGUGGGGAAUAUUGCACAAUGGGCGCAAGCCUGAUGCAGCCAUGCCGCGUGUGUGAAGAAGGCCUCGGGUUGUAAAGCACUUUCAGCGGGGAGGAAGGCGGUGAGGUUAAUAACCUCAUCGAUUGACGUUACCCGCAGAAGAAGCACCGGCUAACUCCGUGCCAGCAGCCGCGGUAAUACGGAGGGUGCAAGCGUUAAUCGGAAUUACUGGGCGUAAAGCGCACGCAGGCGGUCUGUCAAGUCGGAUGUGAAAUCCCCGGGCUCAACCUGGGAACUGCAUUCGAAACUGGCAGGCUAGAGUCUUGUAGAGGGGGGUAGAAUUCCAGGUGUAGCGGUGAAAUGCGUAGAGAUCUGGAGGAAUACCGGUGGCGAAGGCGGCCCCCUGGACAAAGACUGACGCUCAGGUGCGAAAGCGUGGGGAGCAAACAGGAUUAGAUACCCUGGUAGUCCACGCCGUAAACGAUGUCGAUUUGGAGGUUGUGCCCUUGAGGCGUGGCUUCCGGAGCUAACGCGUUAAAUCGACCGCCUGGGGAGUACGGCCGCAAGGUUAAAACUCAAAUGAAUUGACGGGGGCCCGCACAAGCGGUGGAGCAUGUGGUUUAAUUCGAUGCAACGCGAAGAACCUUACCUGGUCUUGACAUCCACAGAACUUUCCAGAGAUGGAUUGGUGCCUUCGGGAACUGUGAGACAGGUGCUGCAUGGCUGUCGUCAGCUCGUGUUGUGAAAUGUUGGGUUAAGUCCCGCAACGAGCGCAACCCUUAUCCUUUGUUGCCAGCGGUCCGGCCGGGAACUCAAAGGAGACUGCCAGUGAUAAACUGGAGGAAGGUGGGGAUGACGUCAAGUCAUCAUGGCCCUUACGACCAGGGCUACACACGUGCUACAAUGGCAUAUACAAAGAGAAGCGACCUCGCGAGAGCAAGCGGACCUCAUAAAGUAUGUCGUAGUCCGGAUUGGAGUCUGCAACUCGACUCCAUGAAGUCGGAAUCGCUAGUAAUCGUAGAUCAGAAUGCUACGGUGAAUACGUUCCCGGGCCUUGUACACACCGCCCGUCACACCAUGGGAGUGGGUUGCAAAAGAAGUAGGUAGCUUAACCUUCGGGAGGGCGCUUACCACUUUGUGAUUCAUGACUGGGGUGAAGUCGUAACAAGGUAACCGUAGGGGAACCUGCGGUUGGAUCACCUCCUUA